RNAcentral lists this ribosomal RNA (254 nucleotides) under uncultured bacterium. RNAcentral describes it as "partial 16S ribosomal RNA". It matches the Rfam family "Bacterial small subunit ribosomal RNA", at positions 524 to 776 of the family's 1533-position model. The record is from RNAcentral.
UACGUAGGGUCCGAGCGUUUGUCCGGAAUUACUGGGCGUAAAGAGCUCGUAGGUGGUUUGUCGCGUUGUUCGUGAAAACUCACAGCUUAACUGUGGGCGUGCGGGCGAUACGGGCAGACUUGAGUACUGCAGGGGAGACUGGAAUUCCUGGUGUAGCGGUGAAAUGCGCAGAUAUCAGGAGGAACACCGGUGGCGAAGGCGGGUCUCUGGGCCGAUAUUGACGCUGAGGAGCGAAAGCGUGGGGAGCGAACAGG